RNAcentral lists this ribosomal RNA (415 nucleotides) under uncultured bacterium. Its description in RNAcentral is "bacterial SSU rRNA". It matches the Rfam family "Bacterial small subunit ribosomal RNA", at positions 945 to 1359 of the family's 1533-position model. The record is from RNAcentral.
UUUAAUUCGAAGCAACGCGAAGAACCUUACCAGGUCUUGACAUCCUCUGACAACUCUAGAGAUAGAGCGUUCCCCUUCGGGGGACAGAGUGACAGGUGGUGCAUGGUUGUCGUCAGCUCGUGUCGUGAGAUGUUGGGUUAAGUCCCGCAACGAGCGCAACCCUUGAUCUUAGUUGCCAGCAUUUAGUUGGGCACUCUAAGGUGACUGCCGGUGACAAACCGAAGGAAGGUGGGGAUGACGUCAAAUCAUCAUGCCCCUUAUGACCUGGGCUACACACGUGCUACAAUGGAUGGUACAAAGGGCUGCAAGACCGCGAGGUCAAGCCAAUCCCAUAAAACCAUUCUCAGUUCGGAUUGUAGGCUGCAACUCGCCUACAUGAAGCUGGAAUCGCUAGUAAUCGCGGAUCAGCAUGCCG